CUGGUUGCUAUGGACGCGGGGAUGCUCUGGAGCGGCGCCCAAGCGGUCCCAUUCAAAGAGCUGGACGCGAGGAGGUAAAGAAGCUCCUUCAAGGCUGCGGCGGGCGCAUUUCCAGAGCUGGAAGACGAAGCCGGCACCGCAGCUCAAGAAGGGAGCCCGGGUAAAACCUGGAAAUGAAGAGUCUCCUCACAAACAGGGAUACCAUCUAACUCCUUGUCUGUGAAGCGAUGGAGUCUGCAUGUCAUGGCCAGUGGUUGAGACACAAUCCUGGAAUGGAGCCUCACUAGUGAUGCACCAGGAUGUGUUUGGCUCAGAUUGGGCCAAAUGACUACGAUAUUCCCGAAGAGUCUUCAUAAAGAAAAGGACGGUCAGCCUGUAGGUGGGUCACAGAGAAUGAGAAGCAGAGAGGAAGUUUUACAUCAAUGUGUGUUUGUUCUCUCGGUGGAUUAUAUUCUUAAAAAGCGACAUGACUCUGGCUUCUGUUCCUUCAGUGUGCCAUUAUACACCUGAAUAACCACCCGAAGUCAACCUUCACAGCAAGAGAGAAGUGAGAUCCAUUGACUGUGGGGAAUCUCUGACCCUAGAGUUCUUCCGUGAAAGCAUGCCUUUUCAGGGCUUUUCAAAGAUUCUGCUCUUCCAUCUCACCUCCAUUCAAGUUUCCUCUUCCUUGAAAUAUUUCCAACUCUGUUCACUCACAUUUUCUCCCAACUAUCAAACCCUGCUCCUUCUCUUCUGAGUAUUUCUUCAAUUUCAUUUAAAUAGGAGGAUAUCCACCCCUCUCCCUAUCUAAGGGAAGUAGGGAACAAACCCACCAUCCCCUCUAACUAGAUGUGCUGCUCAUGCUGUAUAAGGAAGGGAAGUUGUACGGUUCAAUUUAUUUGCGUGGUCGUCUCCUUUGUAGUGGUUCAGUUAAGGAAGGUCAUAUUAAUGCCAAAGUUUGGGCUUAAAGUGUUUUCUUAGAGAGAGACUUUUAUAAGAAGCUGUUUAGCAGCCCUUUCGAAUUUACCCAAAGGAGGCUGGGUGUGCUAGAGUGCGUUAGUCCGUGUUUGUGUGUGGUGUGUAUUUAAGUAAGGGGAUCGUGCAUGCCAUGGGUGGAAGAAGGAGUCACUCACCUGUGCUAGGGGAGGAGUUAGAGCGUCCCACCACCAGCAGCCAGGGUCUUUUUACUCACCAGGACACCCGAAAGUGCAACACAACAACCAGCACUGAAAGGACGAUGUCAUUGCCGCAGUGGAAGCCUGACCCAGGGCUUGCUGUUCCUAGGCUGAGGGCCCUGAGACCCAAGUUCCCCUGUUAGGGCGCCUGCCCCAUUUCCUUCUUGGAGGAAGCAGAGAAGCAGGGCUUGCCUGGAUGCUCCCGCCAGACACCAGGGAAAAGGGGUUAGGGACAGCUCACGAGCAACACUCCCCAGACCACCUUCAGGAAGGACACCUGUGAUAAGAUAGAAUAAACCAGCUCUUUCCUCCACUUGACCUAACGAAUAUUUCCACUGGCCUGGGGCAAAGAUGGGAAACCUUCCUCAUUCGCGCUUCAGGACCGGGGACACGGAUGAGCACGAGCACAGAGGGCACACGUGCUAUCAGA
Canis lupus familiaris (dog) is the source of this 1584-nucleotide long non-coding RNA. RefSeq lists it as uncharacterized. The record is from RefSeq and is a predicted model, not a curated record. Lineage: Eukaryota; Metazoa; Chordata; Mammalia; Carnivora; Canidae. The transcript has 3 exons.